This 1356-nucleotide ribosomal RNA is filed under the name Mycolicibacterium austroafricanum. Its description in RNAcentral is "bacterial SSU rRNA". It matches the Rfam family "Bacterial small subunit ribosomal RNA", at positions 74 to 1442 of the family's 1533-position model. Lineage: Bacteria; Bacillati; Actinomycetota; Actinomycetes; Mycobacteriales; Mycobacteriaceae. The record is from RNAcentral.
GGCCCUUCGGGGUACUCGAGUGGCGAACGGGUGAGUAACACGUGGGUGAUCUGCCCUGCACUUUGGGAUAAGCCUGGGAAACUGGGUCUAAUACCGAAUACACCCUUCUGGCUGCAUGGUCUGGUUGGGGAAAGCUUUUGCGGUGUGGGAUGGGCCCGCGGCCUAUCAGCUUGUUGGUGAGGUUACGGCUCACCAAGGCGACGACGGGUAGCCGGCCUGAGAGGGUGACCGGCCACACUGGGACUGAGAUACGGCCCAGACUCCUACGGGAGGCAGCAGUGGGGAAUAUUGCACAAUGGGCGCAAGCCUGAUGCAGCGACGCCGCGUGAGGGAUGACGGCCUUCGGGUUGUAAACCUCUUUCGCCAGGGACGAAGCGCAAGUGACGGUACCUGGAGAAGAAGGACCGGCCAACUACGUGCCAGCAGCCGCGGUAAUACGUAGGGUCCGAGCGUUGUCCGGAAUUACUGGGCGUAAAGAGCUCGUAGGUGGUUUGUCGCGUUGUUCGUGAAAACUCACAGCUCAACUGUGGGCGUGCGGGCGAUACGGGCAGACUGGAGUACUGCAGGGGAGACUGGAAUUCCUGGUGUAGCGGUGGAAUGCGCAGAUAUCAGGAGGAACACCGGUGGCGAAGGCGGGUCUCUGGGCAGUAACUGACGCUGAGGAGCGAAAGCGUGGGGAGCGAACAGGAUUAGAUACCCUGGUAGUCCACGCCGUAAACGGUGGGUACUAGGUGUGGGUUUCCUUCCUUGGGAUCCGUGCCGUAGCUAACGCAUUAAGUACCCCGCCUGGGGAGUACGGCCGCAAGGCUAAAACUCAAAGAAAUUGACGGGGGCCCGCACAAGCGGCGGAGCAUGUGGAUUAAUUCGAUGCAACGCGAAGAACCUUACCUGGGUUUGACAUGCACAGGACGUGCCUAGAGAUAGGUAUUCCCUUGUGGCCUGUGUGCAGGUGGUGCAUGGCUGUCGUCAGCUCGUGUCGUGAGAUGUUGGGUUAAGUCCCGCAACGAGCGCAACCCUUAUCUUAUGUUGCCAGCGCGUAAUGGCGGGGACUCGUGAGAGACUGCCGGGGUCAACUCGGAGGAAGGUGGGGAUGACGUCAAGUCAUCAUGCCCCUUAUGUCCAGGGCUUCACACAUGCUACAAUGGCCGGUACAAAGGGCUGCGAUGCCGUGAGGUGGAGCGAAUCCUUUCAAAGCCGGUCUCAGUUCGGAUCGGGGUCUGCAACUCGACCCCGUGAAGUCGGAGUCGCUAGUAAUCGCAGAUCAGCAACGCUGCGGUGAAUACGUUCCCGGGCCUUGUACACACCGCCCGUCACGUCAUGAAAGUCGGUAACACCCGAAGCCGGUGGCCUAACCCC